CCUACAUGAAGUUGGAAUUGCUAGUAAUGGCAGGUCAGCAUACUGCCGUGAAUACGUUCCCGGGGCCUUGUACACACCGCCCGUCACACCAUGAGAGUUGGAGAUACCCGAAGCCUGUGAGCUAACUUUUUAAGAGGCAGCAGUCGAAGGUAGAAUCAAUGAUUGGGGUGAAGUCGUAACAAGGUAGC
Molecule: ribosomal RNA, 188 nt
Filed under: uncultured bacterium
Lineage: Bacteria
Description: partial 16S ribosomal RNA
Rfam family: Bacterial small subunit ribosomal RNA
Source: RNAcentral